RNAcentral lists this non-coding RNA (29 nucleotides) under Rattus norvegicus (Norway rat). The record is from RNAcentral. Lineage: Eukaryota; Metazoa; Chordata; Mammalia; Rodentia; Muridae.
UCCAAGUAACCUCUUGAGUAAAGAGCUUA